Molecule: long non-coding RNA, 1221 nt
Organism: Beta vulgaris subsp. vulgaris (sugar beet)
Lineage: Eukaryota; Viridiplantae; Streptophyta; Magnoliopsida; Caryophyllales; Amaranthaceae
Exons: 10
Source: RefSeq, a predicted model, not a curated record
GGUUAUUUCUACUAAUUAAAAAAUUAUAGGAAUUUCAGCUUUUCUCUCAAGAACACAAUUCAAUUUCAUCGGCACUUCGCAUCAAAUUGCCUUUACGGGAUAAUCGAGCUCUUUCGACGAGAUUUGGAACUCGAAUUUCGCAAAAAUUGAAAGGAAGGAAAUGCGAAUUAGAGGAGAGACAAAUUUAACCGAUCGAGUUUUGCUGAAAUGGGGUUUGAAGGUGAAGAUCAGCUUCACUCAAUUACUACAAGUUCUGUGAAACUCAAGCUUCCUAGAAAGUAUAUCCAUCCAGACAACAUGUUUGCUGAGGGAAAUUUAAACCUUGAGCUGAAAAGAAUUCGGGAUGAAUUCAAAAUGCACGAGUCAGAUUGUGGUUCAACACGUGCUCAAAGAAGGAAGGAGUAUUUAGGGUUUCGUCGGGCCAAGGAUGAUGAUUGUAGACUGUCGAGGAAGCACUUGUCGAAUGGUCUUAUGGAUAUUUACAGAUCUAAGUCACCUUAGCUUUUUGUUGGCAAGGAAUAUCCUUGACUCUCAUCAACCAGAUUUAAUCAGUUUACAAGGCAACACCUGAAGGCCAUAUACCGGACAGAAUGGGAUUCAUUUGUCAGUGGAAGGUCGUCCUGGUGAAAAAUCUUCCUUAUAUGGACAUGAGGAGAGGGAAAAUUCCAAAGCUGUUGUGUCAUAGACUUUUCCCUUCAGCAAGGUAUUCAAUUUGGUUGGAUAGCAAGUUGCGAUCCAACGUGAUCCUCUGUUGUUAUUGGAGCACUUCUUAUGGAGAAAGUCAUUGUGUCUGGGAGGAGAUGGAUCGGAAUAAGAAGCUUAACAAAUACAACCAUACCGUUUUUCUUCAAGGCAAUGCAUCGCAUUCAAUUGUAUGCUAGAACCGGUGAUCAGAAUAGUUGACUGCCACAAACGUUUACAGUAUAUGAAUUUGAUGCCAAUGUGAAGGGUGCCAUUGUGCUUAAGGGUUCAAUUAAAGGUAGUUAAGAUGCUUUGCUGAAGACCGAAAGAAUUGAAUCAUGUAUGACACAUAAAUAUCAAAAUUUUAUCAUCUUAGUGUAUAAGUUAAUAUUGGAGCUGAAAUCCAUGUAGUUUAUCAUCGUCUUUUUUUCUUGAUGAGAUAAUAGGUGUCUUGUUAUUCUACUCCUAAAUUUUGAUUAACACGACGUAGUCUAAUAAGAUUGAAAUCUAAUUCCAUGUAUAUGAAAAAUUCGUUUAUUU